AGAGUUUGAUCCUGGCUCAGGACGAACGCUGGCGGUAUGCUUAACACAUGCAAGUCGAACGAGACAAGAUGGAAGUGCUUGCACGGAAAUCUUAGAAAGUGGCGAACGGGUGAGUAACGCGUGGGUAACCUGCCCUAUGGAAAGGAAUAGCCUCGGGAAACUGGGAGUAAUGCCUUAUAAUACAGCGAAGUCGCAUGGCUUUGCUGUUAAACGCUCCGGUGCCAUAGGAUGGACCCGCGUCCCAUUAGCUAGUUGGUGAGAUAACAGCCCACCAAGGCGACGAUGGGUAACCGGUCUGAGAGGGCGAACGGUCACACUGGAACUGAGACACGGUCCAGACUCCUACGGGAGGCAGCAGUGGGGAAUAUUGCGCAAUGGGGGAAACCCUGACGCAGCAAUACCGCGUGAGUGAAGAAGGUUUUCGGAUCGUAAAGCUCUGUUAUUGGGGAAGAAAAAAAGACGGUACCCAAGAAGAAAGUCCCGGCUAACUACGUGCCAGCAGCCGCGGUAAUA
RNAcentral lists this ribosomal RNA (513 nucleotides) under uncultured bacterium. Its description in RNAcentral is "bacterial SSU rRNA". It matches the Rfam family "Bacterial small subunit ribosomal RNA", at positions 8 to 525 of the family's 1533-position model. The record is from RNAcentral.